AUUAAACAUUCAAAAAAGUGACUGUGAGUAAAAUUUGGAGACCCAACAGCCAACCAAUCAGCAGACAGCUUCCUGGUGAAUACAGGUCAGUUUGAUAUCUCUCUCUCUUACUUUGAGCAGAAACUGAUCAGUUCGAAGCCAACCUUUGCAGAGUUUGGAGGCUGUCGGCAGAUAGUGCUUGUGAUUCUGUGAUAAAACGUAAAACGUUGGACACUGUCUUCCCGUCCCCUGUGACUAACCAACGAGACGAGGCUUCCAGGCCACACAGUCAUGAUAGAUUCCAAAUAUCUGCGCUAACUAUUCAGAAAGACAGCACCCACAUGAGAAGCCAACAGCGAGUGGUCUGCUGCUCCGAUUUCCGUCUCUCACACUCAGGCUUAAAGUGACGCAGUGGGGCUGUAGAGAUAGGCAAAUAGCUUGAUAGGGAACUAGGUGGAUAGGUUAGAGUCAGAGUAGAAUUUUGUAGGUGUUGCCAUGGCCAUGGCGGGAGGUAGUUGAGGUGGCAGUGUAGGUUUGGUUGUUGUUGUUUUUUUUAGGGGGGUGAGAGGUAGGACGGGAAGGGUGGCUGGGGUAGAAUGGUGUGGGUAGAGCUUCCUGCUGAUCUUGAGUUUGAGUGUGAGGUUGUUGGAGUGGCAUGUAUACUGGAUUGCUCCUUGAGGUUUGCUGGUACAGCACUGUAUCGACACGGAUUUUCAUCCCCAGGACCACUCGCUGAUGCGGAAGACAAUCUAAAAGAGGUAUUUGUCGGUGAAGUAAUAUGUCUUGGAAGAUUAUUUGUUUAUUAGUUCAAUAAAAUUAGAAAAAUACCUACAAGACUGAGUUCAAUGUAAGUUUUGUUUUUUAAUUCACAUAAAACCGGAACAUGGUAAAAUGUAUUUAGCGACAGAUUUUUAUAAAUGACCUUCUGUCCUUUAAACCAAAUGUAAACAAUUUUAUAACAACUCUUUAUAUGAUGAAACAAUAAAAUUAUCAUGAUUAAUGAAAGAGCAUAUUCCAAAUUGACACAGUCUUCAUCACAAGGACCCCUCUGCCAGUUCGGAGGACGACUUGACGACGACGCAAAUGAUACCACGGCCGGACCAUCAACAGGAGGACCCCUCUGCUGGAGCGGAGGAUGACCUGGACAACGACGCCAAGGAUACCACGGCCGGACCAUCAACAGGAGAGCCCCUCCGCUGGAGCGGAGGAUGGCCCGGACAACCAAAAGGAUACCAAGACGGACCAUCGACAGGAGGACCCCUCUGCUGGAGUGGAGGAUGACCUGGGCAACGACGCCAAGGAUACCACGGCCGGACCAUCAACAGGAGGACCCCUCUGCUGGAGCGGAGGAUGACCUGGAGGACGACGCCAAGGAUACCACAGCCGGACCAUCAACAGGAGGACCCCUCUGCUGGAGCGGAGGAUGACCUGGACAACGACGCCAAGGAUACCACGGCCGGACCAUCAACAGGAGGACCCCUCUGCUGGAGCGGAGGAUGACCCGGACGAUGACACUAAAGAUACCACGGCUGGACCUUCAACAGGAGAAAGACGGCACCCACAUGAGAAGCCAACAGCGGGUGGUCUGCUGCUCCGAUUUCCGUCUCUCACACUCAGGCUUAAAGUGACGCAGUGGGGCUGUAGAGAUAGGCAAAUAGCUUGAUAGGGAGCUAGGUGGAUAGG
RNAcentral lists this unclassified non-coding RNA (1662 nucleotides) under Aplysia californica (California sea hare). RNAcentral's name for it is "uncharacterized LOC101849373, transcript variant X5". The record is from RNAcentral. Lineage: Eukaryota; Metazoa; Mollusca; Gastropoda; Aplysiida; Aplysiidae.